Molecule: non-coding RNA, 29 nt
Filed under: Mus musculus (house mouse)
Lineage: Eukaryota; Metazoa; Chordata; Mammalia; Rodentia; Muridae
Source: RNAcentral
UAGACUGGAUGCCUGAAGACAGACUUUGU